AUAUACUCUAAAGUCAUUUUCUUUACUUUGAUGUUUUUGGAAUCCACUCGAGAACUUACGUCAUUCGUAGAACCAUUGUGUUGGGAUUUUACUUCCAGUGACCAAAGGAUUUUGCGAUGUUGUGAUGGUUACAGAACUUUAGGAGGGAAAUGUUUCCCAUGCGUAGGUUCAUUUGGGCUCGAAUGUAGCAGGCCAUGUCCUGGAGGAUACUUUGGAGUUAAAUGUCAAGAAGAAUGUCCCUGUGAGAGAUGUAAUGCAACGACAGGG
Saccostrea cuccullata (small rock oyster) is the source of this 267-nucleotide long non-coding RNA. RefSeq lists it as uncharacterized. NCBI's taxonomy places the organism in Eukaryota, Metazoa, Mollusca, Bivalvia, Ostreida, Ostreidae. The transcript is spliced from 3 exons. The record is from RefSeq and is a predicted model, not a curated record.